UGUGUGUGCUGGUCGUGCCUUGCAUGCGGGCUCUAUUGCCUUUUGCAGGUUUCCCACUCAAUUUGGGACUCUUUUUUGACAUUGAUCUGGAGCUCUCAGAUGUAACAACAAUCUGGUUCCACUAGUUACAUUGUAUUAACAGAGGCAUGGUUUUGGUUGAUAUUUUCAUUACCAUUAUGAUUGCCAUUACCGUUGCCGUUAGGAUUGUGAACCAUGUUUUGGUUCACAGGCGAGAUAAAGCCGUCUACACCAAUUUUGUGAGUCUUUCGACACUUCGUUCAAGGCGAUCUUAUAAUGUCUAACGCAU
This 307-nucleotide long non-coding RNA is filed under the name Carica papaya (papaya). RNAcentral describes it as "long non-coding RNA (CPAP_LNC009462)". Lineage: Eukaryota; Viridiplantae; Streptophyta; Magnoliopsida; Brassicales; Caricaceae. The record is from RNAcentral.